GUAGUCUGCAACUCGACUACAUGAAGCUGGAAUCGCUAGUAAUCGCGGAUCAGAAUGCCGCGGUGAAUACGUUCCCGGGUCUUGUACACACCGCCCGUCACACCAUGGGAGUCGGGAAUGCCCGAAGCCAGUGACCCAAGCGAAAGCAGGGAGCUGUCGAAGGCAGGCCGGAUAACUGGGGUGAAGUCGUAACAAGGUAAC
Molecule: ribosomal RNA, 201 nt
Filed under: uncultured bacterium
Lineage: Bacteria
Description: partial 16S ribosomal RNA
Rfam family: Bacterial small subunit ribosomal RNA
Source: RNAcentral